This 497-nucleotide ribosomal RNA is filed under the name uncultured bacterium. RNAcentral's name for it is "partial 16S ribosomal RNA". It matches the Rfam family "Bacterial small subunit ribosomal RNA", at positions 28 to 507 of the family's 1533-position model. The record is from RNAcentral.
GAUGAACGCUGGCGGCGUGCCUAAUACAUGCAAGUCGAGCGAACAGAUGAGGAGUUUGCUCCUCUGACGUUAGCGGCGGACGGGUGAGUAACAUGUGGAUAACCUCCCUAUAAGACUGGGAUAACUUCGGGACACCGGCUCUAAUAGCGGAUAAGAUAUUGAACCGUAUUGGUCGAUAGUGAAAGACGGCUUUGCUGUCACUAAUAGAUGGUUCUGCGCCGCAUUAGCUAGUUGGUAAGGUCACGGCCUACCAAGGCUACGAUGCGUAACCGAACGGAGAGAGUGGUCGGCGACACUGGAACGGAGACACGGUCCAGACUACUACGGGAGGCAGCAGUAGGGAAUCUUCCGCAGUGGGCGAAAGCCUGACGGAGCAACGCCGCGUGAGUGAUGAAGGUCUUCGGAUCGUAAAGCUCUGUUAUUAGGGAAGAACAAAUGUGUAAGUAACUAUGCACGGCUUGACGGUAACUAAUCAGAAAGCCACGGCUAACUACGUG